CCUACGGGAGGCAGCAGUGAGGAAUAUUGGUCAAUGGACGAGAGUCUGAACCAGCCAAGUAGCGUGAAGGAUGACUGCCCUAUGGGUUGUAAACUUCUUUUAUAAAGGAAUAAAACGAGGCACGUGUGCCUUUUUGCAUGUACUUUAUGAAUAAGGAUCGGCUAACUCCGUGCCAGCAGCCGCGGUAAUACGGAGGAUCCGAUCGUUAUCCGGAUUUAUUGGGUUUAAAGGGAGAGUAGAUGGGUUGUUAAGUCAGUUGUGAAAGUUUGCGGCUCAAACGUAAAAUUGCAAUUGAUACUGGCAGUCGUGAGUACAGUUGAGGUAGGCGGAAUUCGUGGUGUAGCGGUGAAAUGCUUAGAUAGCACGAAGAACCCCGAUUGCGAAGGCAGCUUACUAAACUGUGACUGACAUUGAUGCUCGAAAGUGUGGGUAUCAAACAGGAUUAGAUACCCGAGUAGUC
RNAcentral lists this ribosomal RNA (460 nucleotides) under uncultured bacterium. RNAcentral's name for it is "partial 16S ribosomal RNA". It matches the Rfam family "Bacterial small subunit ribosomal RNA", at positions 338 to 795 of the family's 1533-position model. The record is from RNAcentral.